CAGAAUAUCUUGGUUUCUCCAUCUAUGUU
This 29-nucleotide non-coding RNA is filed under the name Rattus norvegicus (Norway rat). The record is from RNAcentral. Lineage: Eukaryota; Metazoa; Chordata; Mammalia; Rodentia; Muridae.